Molecule: ribosomal RNA, 497 nt
Filed under: uncultured bacterium
Lineage: Bacteria
Description: partial 16S ribosomal RNA
Rfam family: Bacterial small subunit ribosomal RNA
Source: RNAcentral
GAUGAACGCUGGCGGCGUGCCUAAUACAUGCAAGUCGAGCGAACGGACGAGAAGCUUGCUUUUCUGAUGUUAGCGGCGGACGGGUGAGUAACACGUGGAUCACCUACCUAUAAUACUGGGAUAACUUCGGGAAACCGGAGCUAAUACCGGAUAAUAUUUUGAACCGCAUGGUUCAAAAGUGAAAGACGGUCUUGCUGUCACUUAUAGAUGGAUCCGCGCUGCAUUAGCUAGUUGGUAAGGUAACGGCUUACCAAGGCAACGAUGCAUAGCCGACCUGAGAGGGUGAUCGGCCACACUGGAACUGAGACACGGUCCAGACUCCUACGGGAGGCAGCAGUAGGGAAUCUUCCGCAAUGGGCGAAAGCCUGACGGAGCAACGCCGCGUGAGUGAUGAAGGUCUUCGGAUCGUAAAGCUCUGUUAUUAGGGAAGAACAUAUGUGUAAGAAACUGUGCACAUCUUGACGGUACCUAAUCAGAAAGCCACGGCUAACUACGUG